CUCUCUAUAAUUUUGUAUUUAUAUCGCCGUCCAUUAGGUAAAAAUUAAACUUCUUAUCUUUUUCAGACUAAUCUUUAAAGUCAGGUCGAGAUAAAGCUUAUAUUAAAGCGAGCCGAGUUACAAAUUUUAAGAAAUUACAUCUUUUUAUUUAAAAAUGAAAAAACUCAGGAUUUGAAAGUAAUUAAAAAGUAAUUUUUCUUUAUGAAUAUUCAUAAAAGGCGUACAUAUCGCCCGUCACCCUCGUCCAAAGAUGAGGUAAGUCGUAACAAAGUUAAUGUACUGGAAAGUGUAUUAAGGG
This 298-nucleotide ribosomal RNA is filed under the name Sericopelma sp. SERSB2. RNAcentral's name for it is "partial 12S ribosomal RNA". Lineage: Eukaryota; Metazoa; Arthropoda; Arachnida; Araneae; Theraphosidae. The record is from RNAcentral.